RNAcentral lists this long non-coding RNA (267 nucleotides) under Setaria italica (foxtail millet). RNAcentral describes it as "long non-coding RNA (SITA_LNC004423)". The record is from RNAcentral. Lineage: Eukaryota; Viridiplantae; Streptophyta; Magnoliopsida; Poales; Poaceae.
ACAUAGUCUUUUACUUCAAAAUUCUUUAUAACCUCCCCUCCGAAACGGCCGCAAUGAAAAUAUCCUUCCGUUUCGCGGUCUUCCAGCUGAUGAUUGCAAUCUUUUCGAAACGGGCGCCCACGACAGCCACUACUCCCGAAAAACUCGAAACGCCGGCGCGGUGAAAAUUCCGUUUUUACCCCCCUUCAGGCAUCCUUUAAAUAGCGCUUCACCCCGCACUUCAUCUUCAAGCUCACGUCUCUUUUUCCAAGCGCGCGCGCCCUCUUC